AUACAAAAGAGAGCAGCCCAAUAGUGACAUGCCCUUGAAAAUAAUAAUAAAGAAAGUAAGAAAAUGAAGAGGCAAAUGAAUCAGAAGCUCUGCUAAUUCCUCUCCAUUGUCUUCCAUCAUUUGAGCAAAUAGGAAAGUGAUGAUCUGUUGUGAACCAAACUAACAAAAAUGUUCAACAAUGAGCUCCCUGAGCAAUCUUCCAGCAAACUUUUGAUUAACCGAUCACAACCUGCUUCAAUUGGAUUUCUGGAGUUUUUUUUAGGGUCUAAAGCUCAGUUCAGAGGUCCUGCUAGGCCGUGGAGUUUUCAGAUAGCAGUGAUGUGUGCAGUUGGUGAGACUUCUUUAUUCCAGAAGGCCUAUGUCUAUCAGAUUAUGUUAUUUAUUUAUUUUUAGGUCCACUGGGGGCCUUGUCCCAAUUUCAGACAGUUGUCAUUUUCAGAUGUAGUAGAGAUUUCGUAGACUGGUUCAGAUGUUGUGUAGUUGAUAUUGGAUUUCAUUUUUCAUAGUUUAAUUGAACUCAGAGUAUGACCAUGUUUUCGUAAUGAUUUACAAUUCCCCAUCUUCUAUUAUAAUUUAUGAAUAUUGUGCAUAAUUACCAGAUAGAAAGGGCGUUUGGGCCUUCAUGGUUCAGGAUGCUCAUCAAGGCCAGGGCCCCGACUCGGGUCGUGACAGUUGGGGUCAUGGACUGUAUAUAACCACAUAUGCAAAGUGUCUUUCUUAUGGUCAACGCAUUCCUUCGAUUGAGUUCAAUCCUAACGUACUUCGUAUAAGAUAUGCUUCACUAUUGUGGGAUUACGGCAUGAGAAAACAAGAAGCAAAAGCUCAAAGUGACGAUGAAGCACCAUUGGGGCAUGUUAGGGAAAGCAACAUAACAAGUGUCAUAGAAGUAUUUGAAGUAUGAUUGUUGAUGAUUUUAUUCCAUUUUGUAUUUGACAAGAUUUAACUGGAUGUUGAUAGUAAUUUAGUGCAAUAGUUUUUUGAACUUAUUUUCCGUUUGAUGUUAAUGAAAGUUAUUCAUUUUGAAGU
Long non-coding RNA from Capsicum annuum, 1026 nucleotides. RefSeq lists it as uncharacterized. The transcript has 4 exons. Lineage: Eukaryota; Viridiplantae; Streptophyta; Magnoliopsida; Solanales; Solanaceae. The record is from RefSeq and is a predicted model, not a curated record.